Cebus imitator (Panamanian white-faced capuchin) is the source of this 287-nucleotide long non-coding RNA. RefSeq lists it as uncharacterized. The record is from RefSeq and is a predicted model, not a curated record. Lineage: Eukaryota; Metazoa; Chordata; Mammalia; Primates; Cebidae. The transcript has 3 exons.
CACUGUUCACAAGGAGACUAUGAAUGGAAAAAAGUCAAUGGCAAAACUCCCACAUCCUGCUAAAGUUGGUAUAUGGAUACUUUUCUACUCAUAUUUAAAGCUGAAAUAAACAGUAAUUGUUGUGUCAUGUGGAAACUCGCUCCUGUCAACGGAAACCAAAUUGUACAGAAACAAACUCUUCCUUCCUGUCCUCUGCCUGUAGCAGAAAAUAGACAAGCCAAGCAGAUGUCCAGGGAUGGCGGAGGAGUACCUCGGCUGCAGCUUCCUUGGGAGAAAACAAACUCAAG